GGAUUUGGGCCAAUCGGUGUCUGGAACUAGUCACAACGGAGGUUAACUCAGUCUCGAACUCAAACGAUUUGGGACUCUAGGGUUUGCAUAAGAUGAUUUAGAGGUGAAAGGGUUUUGGAGAAGACAUCGAUUUGGAGAAGGAAGGGUUUGAGAGUUGUUUUAGAGAAGGAAGGGUUUUGUGUGUGUUGUGCGUGUUGUAUUCUUUGUGUUUUGUUUGAGUUGUGCGUGUUUGUGUUCUUUAUGUUUUGUAUUUCUC
RNAcentral lists this long non-coding RNA (256 nucleotides) under Trifolium pratense (red clover). RNAcentral describes it as "long non-coding RNA (TPRA_LNC003117)". The record is from RNAcentral. Lineage: Eukaryota; Viridiplantae; Streptophyta; Magnoliopsida; Fabales; Fabaceae.